GCAGUCGAGCGGACCUUGAGAGAGCUUGCUCUCUCAAAGUUAGCGGCGGACGGGUGAGUAACACGUGGGUAACCUGCCUGUAAGACGGGGAUAACUCCGGGAAACCGGAGCUAAUACCGGAUAAUAAAGGGAAGUGCAUACUUCCUUUUUGAAAGUCGGCUUCUAGCUGACGCUUACAGAUGGGCCCGCGGCGCAUUAGCUAGUUGGUGAGGUAACGGCUCACCAAGGCGACGAUGCGUAGCCGACCUGAGAGGGUGAUCGGCCACACUGGGACUGAGACACGGCCCAGACUCCUACGGGAGGCAGCAGUAGGGAAUCUUCGGCAAUGGACGAAAGUCUGACCGAGCAACGCCGCGUGAGUGAGGAAGGCCUUCGGGUCGUAAAGCUCUGUUGUCAGGGAAGAACAAGUACCAGAGUAACUGCUGGUACCUUGACGGUACCUGACCAGAAAGCCACGGCUAACUACGUGCCAGCAGCCGCGGUAAUACGUAGGUGGCAAGCGUUGUCCGGAAUUAUUGGGCGUAAAGCGCGCGCAGGCGGUUCUUUAAGUCUGAUGUGAAAGCCCACGGCUCAACCGUGGAGGGUCAUUGGAAACUGGGGAACUUGAGUGCAGGAGAGAAAAGUGGAAUUCCACGUGUAGCGGUGAAAUGCGUAGAGAUGUGGAGGAACACCAGUGGCGAAGGCGGCUUUUUGGCCUGUAACUGACGCUGAGGCGCGAAAGCGUGGGGAGCAAACAGGAUUAGAUACCCUGGUAGUCCACGCCGUAAACGAUGAGUGCUAGGUGUUGGGGGGUUCCACCCUCAGUGCUGACGUUAACACAUUAAGCACUCCGCCUGGGGAGUACGACCGCAAGGUUGAAACUCAAAGGAAUUGACGGGGGCCCGCACAAGCAGUGGAGCAUGUGGUUUAAUUCGAAGCAACGCGAAGAACCUUACCAGGUCUUGACAUCCUCUGCCACUCCUAGAGAUAGGACGUUCCCCUUCGGGGGACAGAGUGACAGGUGGUGCAUGGUUGUCGUCAGCUCGUGUCGUGAGAUGUUGGGUUAAGUCCCGCAACGAGCGCAACCCUUGAUUUUAGUUGCCAGCAUUCAGUUGGGCACUCUAAGGUGACUGCCGGUGACAAACCGGAGGAAGGUGGGGAUGACGUCAAAUCAUCAUGCCCCUUAUGACCUGGGCUACACACGUGCUACAAUGGGUGGUACAAAGGGUUGCAAAGCCGCGAGGCCGAGCCAAUCCCAAAAAGCCACUCUCAGUUCGGAUUGUAGGCUGCAACUCGCCUACAUGAAGCCGGAAUUGCUAGUAAUCGCGGAUCAGCAUGCCGCGGUGAAUACGUUCCCGGGCCUUGUACACACCGCCCGUCACACCACGAGAGUUUGUAACACCCGAAGUCGUUGAGGUAACCUUUGGAGCCAGCC
This 1414-nucleotide ribosomal RNA is filed under the name Fictibacillus barbaricus. RNAcentral's name for it is "bacterial SSU rRNA". It matches the Rfam family "Bacterial small subunit ribosomal RNA". Lineage: Bacteria; Bacillati; Bacillota; Bacilli; Caryophanales; Fictibacillaceae. The record is from RNAcentral.